GAUGAAGAACGUAGCGAAAUGCGAUAAGUAGUGUGAAUUGCAGAAUUCAGUGAAUCAUCGAAUCUUUGAACGCACAUUGCGCCCCUUGGUAUUCCAUGGGGCAUGCCUGUUCGAGCGUCAUUUGUACCUUCAAGCCUUGCUUGGUGUUGGGUGUUUGUCUCGCCUCUGCGCGCAGACUCGCCUCAAAACAAUUGGCAGCCGGCGUAUUGAUUUCGGAGCGCAGUACAUCUCGCGCUUUGCACUCAGAACGACGACGUCCAAAAGUACAUUUUUACACUCUUGACCUCGGAUCAGGUAGGGAUACCCGCUGAACUUAAGCAUAUCAAUAGCGGAGGA
Molecule: unclassified non-coding RNA, 336 nt
Filed under: soil metagenome
Description: partial contains 5.8S ribosomal RNA, internal transcribed spacer 2, and large subunit ribosomal RNA
Rfam family: 5.8S ribosomal RNA (bases 1-120)
Source: RNAcentral